This 518-nucleotide ribosomal RNA is filed under the name uncultured Natronomonas sp. Its description in RNAcentral is "bacterial SSU rRNA". It matches the Rfam family "Archaeal small subunit ribosomal RNA", at positions 359 to 848 of the family's 1478-position model. Lineage: Archaea; Methanobacteriati; Methanobacteriota; Halobacteria; Halobacteriales; Natronomonadaceae. The record is from RNAcentral.
ACGACAGUGCGAUAGGGGGACACCGAGUGCGAGGGCAUAGAGCCCUCGCUUUUGUAGACCGUAAGGAGGUCUACGAAUAAGGGCUGGGCAAGACCGGUGCCAGCCGCCGCGGUAACACCGGCAGCCCAAGUGAUGGCCGAUAUUAUUGGGCCUSCGCAAAGCGUCCGUAGCUGGCCGCGCAAGUUCGUCGGGSCGCAAAUCCACUCGCUUAACGAGUGGGCGUCCGGCGSCGCAAAACUGUGCGGCUUGGGACCGGAAGAUCCAAGGGGUACGUCCGGGGUAGGAGUGSCGCAAAUCCCGUAAUCCUGGACGGACCACCGAUGGCGSCGCAAAGCACCUUGGAAGGACGGAUCCGACAGUGAGGGACGSCGCAAAGCUAGGGUCUCGAACCGGAUUAGAUACCCGGGUAGUCCUAGCCGUSCGCAAACGAUGCUCGCUAGGUGUGGCGCAGGCUACGAGCCUGCGCUGUGCCGUAGGGAAGCCGUGAAGCGAGCCGCCUGGGAAGUACGUCUGCAAGG